GGCCGCAUCGCUUAAUGGCAAGGCGCUUGACUUCGAAUCAAGAGAUUGCAGGUCCGAUCCCUGCCGCGAUCA
Tuber borchii (whitish truffle) is the source of this 72-nucleotide non-coding RNA. Lineage: Eukaryota; Fungi; Ascomycota; Pezizomycetes; Pezizales; Tuberaceae. The record is from the annotation of a GenBank genome assembly.